Molecule: ribosomal RNA, 461 nt
Filed under: uncultured bacterium
Lineage: Bacteria
Description: bacterial SSU rRNA
Rfam family: Bacterial small subunit ribosomal RNA
Source: RNAcentral
CUACGGGAGGCAGCAGUAAGGAAUAUUGGACAAUGGGCGCAAGCCUGAUCCAGCCAUGCCGCGUGCAGGAUGAAGGACCUAUGGUUCGUAAACUGCUUUUAUACGGGACAAAACCCCCGGUCGUGCAUCGGGGUUGAUGGUACUGUAAGAAUAAGGGUCGGCUAACUUCGUGCCAGCAGCCGCGGUAAUACGAAGGACCCAAGCGUUAUCCGGAUUUAUUGGGUUUAAAGGGUGCGUAGGCGGAUUAGUAAGUCAGUGGUGAAAGCCUGCAGCUUAACUGCAGAACUGCCAUUGAAACUGCUUUUCUUGAGUGCAUUUGAAGUGAGCGGAAUGUGUCAUGUAGCGGUGAAAUGCUUAGAUAUGACACAGAACACCGAUUGCGAAGGCAGCUCACUAAACUGUAACUGACGCUGAGGCACGAAAGCGUGGGGAGCGAACAGGAUUAGAUACCCGAGUAGUCC